Long non-coding RNA from Cercocebus atys (sooty mangabey), 1709 nucleotides. RefSeq lists it as uncharacterized. The record is from RefSeq and is a predicted model, not a curated record. Lineage: Eukaryota; Metazoa; Chordata; Mammalia; Primates; Cercopithecidae. The transcript is spliced from 2 exons.
GUUGGACAUAUCACUUAAUAAUAUUUAGCAUGAUAUAAUAUUCCAUUUUCUCUUCAGGAGCACAGACUCUUUAUCAUACUGGAUUAUUCUACCUUUGACAGUCAUUUUUCAACAUGACAGUAAUUUUAGAUAAAGCAUCGUGUGCUUAUAGAACCUUGUGCUUGAGUAAAAAUAAUCUUCAAAUAAAAAUAAUGAAGUAAAUUUUUCCUUAGGCCAUGCUUAAUUGGAAGCAUAGAACUUAAAUUGAGAAAAAAAUCCAUAUGAUAGAUUUUGUUUUUCUCACAUUUCCUGUUUGAAUAAUAGCAAAUAAUGCAGAGUAAUGGUUGUAAGAGUUCAGGGUAGAUGAAGUCUGUAGGUUUUAGAAAUAAUAGAGUUGAAAAGAACCUCCAAGAGGACUUACUUAAUAAGCGAACUAAAUGUCCUUAGACAGAUAUUGUCCCUAAACUCUUUUCUAUUGAAAGUUUAUAGUAUUGAAAAUUUGAUGACUAUUAGCACCUAGUAUAAAUCAACAUUCAUCUGCUGUUCUCUUUUUAGAUAGCCAAGUUAUAACUUUUUCGAAAAGACAUUAUUGGACUAUGUUAGUAGGUCCGCCUUCUCCUUUGAUCAUGUGCACUCUUACCUGUCACCCAACCUUCUCCACACCCUCUUCUCUUCAUUCAGUUGUGGACAGCAGUAAUAGUUUCAGUACCUUUGCUUCUUAGAGGAAAUACAUUUUUCCUUGUUUAUAUUUUUAAAAGAUGUUUCUAUUACAUUAUAUAUAGCAAGAGAUCUAUUAAGGAUCCAGAAAAUCUUAACCUGUGUAGGAUAUGAGUUCCUAACCAUAAGAAUUAGUUUCCUUGAGGGUUCUUGAGUAUAUUCUGUUUACACAGUUUAUACAUAAGUAAACUCUGUGGCAGAUAUACAUAAAAAACCUGUCACUUUUAUGCUCAUUCAUCCUCCUAAUUCAGUGUCUGGGUCAUGAGAUGUUUGGCUCAAAGCUUCAAAAACUUCAAGAAAACUGAUUUCAGUUCUCUCUAUGUUGAUCUUCCAGUUGGAUCUGGAGUCUACUGAUUGUGGAAAGGAAGAGCAGAUCACAUUGUAUUGAAAAUUGUCCUUUUCACUGAGAAAUAAAGGUUGACUGAGCUACCUAAAGUCACUUUCCUUUGGACUGUAAGCCUUAGAGAGAACAAUAAUACCUUUGCUUUUCUUGAGGUAGUAUUAGAAAACUCCAGUUCCCAUUGAUAGGAUAAACUUGUUUUCCCAUUUCAGGGUCUUUUUUAUAAAACAAUCACAAAAUCUUGACAUUUGGCAUCCCUGAAAAGCUCAAGUGGCCUUUUCAAAUAGGGCUUCAUGGAGUAUUACUGACUUUACAGUCAGUAUCCUGCAAAGAAAGGUGACAAACUUCCUGUGAAGUUAGGAAGAAAUAUUAGUAACCCACACACUUACAGUCCAUUUUCCAUUUUACCUUGUAGAAGUUUGUACUAGAGAUAGAACAAAUGAAAUUAGUUUUCUUUUCCAGGGAUAUCCUGUGAGAUACCUGAGAAAAUACAGAGUAUUUUCUCUCAGUUCUCUCAGGGUUAAAGCUCAGUAAGCUUUUCUUUUCUCUUUGGUAGUGUGGAACCAUUUGUACCGUGGAAAGAAUAGCUGGAAAUAUGGAACUUGAGUAUGGCACUACAGUAAUAAACAGAAGAAAUGAGUCACUAGGAUAAUAUAUUGGAGUGAUUUCUGUA